Paramuricea clavata is the source of this 1484-nucleotide non-coding RNA. NCBI's taxonomy places the organism in Eukaryota, Metazoa, Cnidaria, Anthozoa, Malacalcyonacea, Plexauridae. The record is from the annotation of a GenBank genome assembly.
UACUCGCUGGGGCACCUGUGCCCUGGCGAGUAUAGGUUUCGGCUCUGAUUUUUCUCCGAUUGAUAGCCACAAAAUAGAAUACUAAUGAGCUACCUACUUUUACCCAAAUUAUCUAUAAAUAACCCUAAGUAUUGCGAAAAAUUCAAAAUAUUACUAAAAAAUCCAAAGCUGCUGUUUAUUUUAACCAGUAUGAACAUGUUUACGUUUUUUUAAAACUGACAUUUUACUGCAUUGAGGAUUCAACGACAAGAACAAUGAAUUUGGAGAUGUAUUAAUGCCAAAUAAAUCCUGUUAAGCGGUCAAAAUGACAUCUUAUAGCCCGACAAAAAUAGAAAUACAAAGUAAGAGACAGCGAUCGCCGAUGGCGAUGCACAGGAACAAUUGUAUGAAAUAUAAACUCGAUAUAAGACUGCUAACUAUGCUUUUGUAAGAACAGAGUAGACCAGACACAGUACUAACUAAAUGCGGUGCUUUACAAAUAAAACUUUCAUGCGAUUCUCCCUACAAGCUGUGCUACAUGUAAAGGUUAUAUUUUAUCGUAUUCACUACAGUCCUGUCGGCGGACAGUUGUUCCACACGCUGACACCCAUGGUUAAAACUUCGCCUUAAAACCUUCAAAAUAAACAAUUCACGGAUCAAAAUACUAUCAAAAUGAAGAUAAAAGUGAGACGAACCCAUUCGUAUACGGCCGAAAAGGAGAAAACCAACGAUACGAAAGUUAUCAAGGAAAAUCAAGGAGCAAACGUGCUGCAUUUUUAAAUAGCUGAAUAAUAUAUAAAAUUUUGAGAGCGAUUUGUGACAUUUGUCAACAAUACAAUUUCGCGUGACUUUCAAAGGUCAUAUAUCGCCAGAAUACUGCUGUUCAGUAAUGAAUUUGGUAUCCGUAAGUACAAUUUCGUACGCUGAUUCGAACGAUGGUAUUUUUUCCUUGUUGGGUCACUUGGAUGCAUAUUAAACCAGAGAUAGUCGGUCUCAGUCAGCGAUUUAGACGGGCAAGGAAUUUUCAGAUAGGCAGUGGAAGCAUUUGUUUCGGAACAAAUUCCCCCUUCCCCCCAAACCUCUGUCUGGCGUCUGCUGUUAGGUAGCGGUGCCAAACUUGACACAUCGGUGGGACACCGCAAUUUUGCAACAGGGGACAGAUCACAAUUAACUCUUCAAUCGGCCAUAUGAUUGUAGUACCAAUGUACCAUCACUGUGAUCUGACAAGUGUAUCACUAUCGGCAGCCCAUUUAUAGCUUUUGACCGCUUGCGCUGAGGGACGGACUUGAACCCAACGGACCUUGAAAGUCUACCCAUUAGCCCCAGCGAGUCAACGCUCUUUCGAGCGUCUUGUUAUAAUUUGUACUACGCUAACCCGCUACCCGGAUUCUUGAUCGAAUCAACUAGAAAGUAGAAGUUACUAUCGCAAGGCGAGUGCUGCCUUUAUAAACCAAAGUCUAACUUAGAAAAUAUCGGGCAAAUCGAAAAAAAAAUUUUGAUCUACA